GAUGAACGCUGGCGGCGUGCCUAAUACAUGCAAGUCGAGCGAACAGACGAGGAGCUUGCUCCUCUGACGUUAGCGGCGGACGGGUGAGUAACACGUGGAUAACCUACCUAUAAGACUGGGAUAACUUCGGGAAACCGGAGCUAAUACCGGAUAAUAUAUUGAACCGCAUGGUUCAAUAGUGAAAGACGGUUUUGCUGUCACUUAUAGAUGGAUCCGCGCCGCAUUAGCUAGUUGGUAAGGUAACGGCUUACCAAGGCAACGAUGCGUAGCCGACCUGAGAGGGUGAUCCGCCACACUGGAACUGAGACACGGUCCAGACUCCUACGGGAGGCAGCAGUAGGGAAUCUUCCGCAAUGGGCGAAAGCCUGACGGAGCAACGCCGCGUGGGUGAUGAAGGGCUUCGGGUCGUAAAACUCUUUUAUUAGGGAAGAAAAAAAGUGGAAGUAACCAAGCACGUUUUGACGGUACCCAAACAAAAAGCCACGGCUAACUUCGUG
RNAcentral lists this ribosomal RNA (497 nucleotides) under uncultured bacterium. RNAcentral describes it as "partial 16S ribosomal RNA". It matches the Rfam family "Bacterial small subunit ribosomal RNA", at positions 28 to 507 of the family's 1533-position model. The record is from RNAcentral.